GAAAACAACCCUAGGGCCCUCGGGGGGCCAAAAAAUCACGGAAAAGCGGAGCUUACCGGCGGCGGCGCUCUCGGGUACGGCGACUCUCCGACGAGGUUCGUGUUUUGGUGAUUUGGCUUCGGUCAACCUGUAGAGAAAAGAAUGGUGAUCACGGUGAUAUAAAAAUUGCAUCGAACGGAGGCCGGGAAGGGCCUCGUCGGAGGCAAAAACCGAGAGGGGGCGCGGCGGCACCG
Molecule: long non-coding RNA, 233 nt
Filed under: Carica papaya (papaya)
Lineage: Eukaryota; Viridiplantae; Streptophyta; Magnoliopsida; Brassicales; Caricaceae
Description: long non-coding RNA (CPAP_LNC015680)
Source: RNAcentral